RNAcentral lists this ribosomal RNA (1356 nucleotides) under Cylindrospermopsis raciborskii. RNAcentral describes it as "bacterial SSU rRNA". It matches the Rfam family "Bacterial small subunit ribosomal RNA". Lineage: Bacteria; Bacillati; Cyanobacteriota; Cyanophyceae; Nostocales; Aphanizomenonaceae. The record is from RNAcentral.
GGUGAGUAACGCGUGAGAAUCUGGCUCCAGGUCGGGGAUAACAGUUGGAAACGACUGCUAAUACCGGAUGUGCCGAGAGGUGAAAGAUUUAUUGCCUGGAGAUGAGCUCGCGUCUGAUUAGCUAGUUGGUGGUGUAAGGGACCACCAAGGCGUCGAUCAGUAGCUGGUCUGAGAGGAUGAUCAGCCACACUGGGACUGAGACACGGCCCAGACUCCUACGGGAGGCAGCAGUGGGGAAUUUUCCGCAAUGGGCGAAAGCCUGACGGAGCAAUACCGCGUGAGGGAGGAAGGCUCUUGGGUCGUAAACCUCUUUUCUCAAGGAAGAAGAAAGUGACGGUACUUGAGGAAUAAGCAUCGGCUAACUCCGUGCCAGCAGCCGCGGUAAUACGGAGGAUGCAAGCGUUAUCCGGAAUGAUUGGGCGUAAAGGGUCUGCAGGUGGAACUGAAAGUCUGCUGUUAAAGAGUUUGGCUUAACCAAAUAAAAGCGGUGGAAACUACAGAACUAGAGUGCGGUAGGGGCAAAAGGAAUUCCUGGUGUAGCGGUGAAAUGCGUAGAUAUCAGGAAGAACACCGGUGGCGAAAGCGUUUUGCUAGACCGUAACUGACACUGAGGGACGAAAGCUAGGGGAGCGAAUGGGAUUAGAUACCCCAGUAGUCCUAGCCGUAAACGAUGGAUACUAGGCGUGGCUUGUAUCGACCCGAGCCGUGCCGGAGCUAACGCGUUAAGUAUCCCGCCUGGGGAGUACGCACGCAAGUGUGAAACUCAAAGGAAUUGACGGGGGCCCGCACAAGCGGUGGAGUAUGUGGUUUAAUUCGAUGCAACGCGAAGAACCUUACCAAGACUUGACAUCCUGCGAAUCCUGGUGAAAGCUGGGAGUGCCUUAGGGAGCGCAGAGACAGGUGGUGCAUGGCUGUCGUCAGCUCGUGUCGUGAGAUGUUGGGUUAAGUCCCGCAACGAGCGCAACCCUCGUUUUUAGUUGCCAGCAUUAAGUUGGGCACUCUAGAGAGACUGCCGGUGACAAACCGGAGGAAGGUGAGGAUGACGUCAAGUCAGCAUGCCCCUUACGUCUUGGGCUACACACGUACUACAAUGCUACGGACAGAGGGCAGCAAGCCAGGGAUGGCAAGCGAAUCCAGAAACCGUAGCUCAGUUCAGAUCGAAGGCUGCAACUCGCCUUCGUGAAGGAGGAAUCGCUAGUAAUUGCAGGUCAGCAUACUGCAGUGAAUUCGUUCCCGGGCCUUGUACACACCGCCCGUCACACCAUGGAAGUUGGUCACGCCCGAAGUCAUUACCCCAACCGAAAGGAGGGGGAUGCCUAAGGUAGGACUGGUGACUGGGGUGAAGUCGUAACAAGG